This 470-nucleotide ribosomal RNA is filed under the name uncultured microorganism. RNAcentral's name for it is "bacterial SSU rRNA". It matches the Rfam family "Bacterial small subunit ribosomal RNA", at positions 9 to 524 of the family's 1533-position model. The record is from RNAcentral.
GAGUUUGAUCAUGGCUCAGAACGAACGCUGGCGGCAUGCCUAACACAUGCAAGUCGAACGAACUCUUCGGAGUUAGUGGCGCACGGGUGCGUAACGCGUGGGAAUCUGCCCUUGGGUACGGAAUAACUCAGAGAAAUUUGUGCUAAUACCGUAUAAUGACUUCGGUCCAAAGAUUUAUCGCCCAAGGAUGAGCCCGCGUAAGAUUAGCUAGUUGGUGGGGUAAAGGCCUACCAAGGCUACGAUCUUUAGCUGGUCUGAGAGGAUGAUCAGCCACACUGGGACUGAGACACGGCCCAGACUCCUACGGGAGGCAGCAGUGGGGAAUAUUGGACAAUGGGCGAAAGCCUGAUCCAGCAAUGCCGCGUGAGUGAUGAAGGCCUUAGGGUUGUAAAGCUCUUUUACCCGGGUAUGAUAAUGACAGUACCGGGAGAAUAAGCUCCGGCUAACUCCGUGCCAGCCGCCGCCGUAAC